UGGGGAAUCUUCCGCAAUGGGCGCAAGCCUGACGGAGCAACGCCGCGUGAGUGAAGAAGGUUUUCGGAUCGUAAAGCUCUGUUGAGAGGGACGAGAGAUAUAAUCAGGAAAUGGGUUAUAGAGGACGGUACCUUUCGAGGAAGCCACGGCUAACUACGUGCCAGCAGCCGCGGUAAUACGUAGGUGGCGAGCGUUGUCCGGAAUUAUUGGGCGUAAAGGGAGCGCAGGUGGGAAAGUAAGUCAGUCUUAAAAGUUCGGGGCUCAACCCCGUGAUGGGAUUGAAACUACUUUUCUUGAGUGCAGGAGAGGAAAGCGGAAUUCCUAGUGUAGCGGUGAAAUGCGUAGAUAUUAGGAGGAACACCAGUGGCGAAGGCGGCUUUCUGGACUGUAACUGACACUGAGGCUCGAAAGCGUGGGGAGCGAACAGGA
RNAcentral lists this ribosomal RNA (429 nucleotides) under uncultured bacterium. Its description in RNAcentral is "bacterial SSU rRNA". It matches the Rfam family "Bacterial small subunit ribosomal RNA", at positions 355 to 777 of the family's 1533-position model. The record is from RNAcentral.